RNA transcript from Rhododendron vialii, 987 nucleotides. It is a transcript of the gene named beta-carotene isomerase D27, chloroplastic, with no coding region annotated. The record is from RefSeq and is a predicted model, not a curated record. Lineage: Eukaryota; Viridiplantae; Streptophyta; Magnoliopsida; Ericales; Ericaceae. The transcript has 7 exons.
ACUAGCUACUGACUGGCCCAUCUCAUUCAUUUUCUAACUCCCUCUUUGUCUCUCCUACAUGCAAACAUAUCACAAGGCAAGAUUGUCCUCUACAACAAAUUUAUCUUAGCCAGCCAAAACACUCUCUCUCUCUCUCCACAAAAUGGAAGGCAGGCUUGUUAUGCAUAACAUUAUACCUUUCUCAACACAGGCUUGCCGGAGAGACCUGAACCGGGGAAAGCAGUGUCUGUCCAUUGUCUCAGUGCUGACCCAGCCUGUGAAUGAUCAAGUAGGGAAAUUAUCGAGCUCGAAGGCUGUUUACAAGGACAACUUCUUUGAACUCGUCGCCAUUAACUACAUCUCCAAAAUCGUUCAAGCUUCAACGGGGUUCACAAACAACAGGAGUGGCUAUGAUAGCUUUGUGGAAGCAGCUACUGGGUUAUGGAGCAACUUCAAUCCCGUUCAACAACAUGAGAUAGUCGCAAAAAUUCUUGAUAAGGCCAUUCCUAGGCCUAUUCUUGCCAUGAUCAGGACAUUGCUACCAAAUUCUAAAUUCACCAGGGAACUUUUUGCUGUUUUCACCACUUUGUGUUUCGCUUGGUUAAUCGGACCAAACGAGGUGAGGGAAUCGAAGCUUGACGGUCGAAGAGAAAGGAAUGUAGUCCACAUUAAAAAGUGCAGGUUUCUGGAGGAGUCCAAUUGUGUAGGAAUGUGCAUCAACCUCUGCAAGAUGCCAUCUCAAAAGUUCAUGAAGGACACCUUGGGCGUGCCAGUCAACAUGGUCCCUAGUAUAUUUUGAUGAUAUGAGCUGUGAGAUGGUAUUUGGUCAAGAACCUCCUGCAACUGCUGAAGAUCCAGCAUUUAAGCAGCCAUGCUACAAACUAUGCAAAGUAAACAAAAGGCACAGCUCAAAUUGUCCCAGAUAAUUCAAGGAACUUGCCACCACCCUUCACCCGCCGGGAAAAAAACAAAAAGGAAGAAUAAGAUAUAUGCGUGUGUGUGUGUGUG